Molecule: small nuclear RNA, 161 nt
Organism: Peromyscus eremicus (cactus mouse)
Lineage: Eukaryota; Metazoa; Chordata; Mammalia; Rodentia; Cricetidae
Product: U1 spliceosomal RNA
Exons: 1
Source: RefSeq, a predicted model, not a curated record
AUACUUACCUGGCAGGGAACACCAUGAUCACGAAGGUGGUUUUCCCCAGGGCAAGCUCUUCCACUACACUUCGGAUGUGCUGACCCCUGCGAUUUCCCCAGAUGCAGGAACUUGCCUGCAUAGUUUGUGGUAGUGAGGGACUGCAUCCAUGCUCUCCCCUG